This 497-nucleotide ribosomal RNA is filed under the name uncultured bacterium. Its description in RNAcentral is "partial 16S ribosomal RNA". It matches the Rfam family "Bacterial small subunit ribosomal RNA", at positions 28 to 507 of the family's 1533-position model. The record is from RNAcentral.
GAUGAACGCUGGCGGCGUGCCUAAUACAUGCAAGUCGAGCGAACGGACGAGAAGCUUGCUUCGCUGAUGUUAGCGGCGGACGGGUGAGUAACACGUGGAUAACCUACCUAUAAGACUGGGAUAACUUCGGGAAACCGGAGCUAAUACCGUAUAAUAUUUUGAACCGCAUGGUUCAAAAGUGAAAGACGGUCUUGCGGUCACUUAUAGAGGGAUCCGGGCUGCAUUAGAUAGUUGGUAAGGUAACGGCUUACCAAGGCAACGAUGCAUAGCCGACCGGAGAGGGUGAUAGGCCACACUGGAAGGGAGACACGGUCCAGAGUACUAAGGGAGGCAGCAGUAGGGAAUCUUACGCAAAGGGCGAGAGCCUGACGGAGCGAGGCCGAGUCAGUGAUGAAGGUCUUCGGAUCGUAAAAAUCUGUUACUAGGGAAGAACAUCUGUGUAAGUAACUGUGCACAGCUUGACGGUACCUGAUAAGAAAGCAACGGCUAACUACGUG